UCGCCUGUUUAUCAAAAACAUGGUUUCUUGAUGUUUUUAAGAAAUCUAACCUGCCCACUGAAUAUAAAUUUAAAGGGCCGCGGUAUCUUGACUGUGCGAAGGUAGCAUAAUCAUUAGUCUUUUAAUUGAAGGCUUGUAUGAAUGGUUGAAUGAAGUGAAUACUGUUUCAUAUUUAUUUUAUUGAAUUUAGAUUUUAAGUGAAAAGACUUAAAUGUUAUUAAGGGACGAGAAGACCCUAUAGAAUUUAAUAAAUCUAGUGGUUAAUUAAGUUAUUAAAUAAUUUUUAAUUAUUAAUAGGAUUUAUUUAAUUGGGGUGAUUAAAAGAUAAAUUUAACUCUUUUUAAAUGUAAAUAUUUUAAUUAAUUUUGUGAUCCAUAUAUAUAAUGAUUAAAAGAUUAAAUUACCUUAGGGAUAACAGCAUAAUUUCUUUUAAGAGUUCUUAUCGAAAGAGAAGAUUAUGACCUCGAUGUUGGAUUAAGAUUAGUUUUAGGUGCAGAUGUUUAUAAACUAGGUCUGUUCGACCUUUAAAAUCUUACAUGAUCUGAGUUCAAACCGGAGA
RNAcentral lists this ribosomal RNA (559 nucleotides) under Panurgica fratercula. Its description in RNAcentral is "partial 16S ribosomal RNA". It matches the Rfam family "Bacterial large subunit ribosomal RNA", at positions 1796 to 2622 of the family's 2925-position model. The record is from RNAcentral. Lineage: Eukaryota; Metazoa; Arthropoda; Insecta; Mantodea; Hymenopodidae.